UUACCGGGACCGACAGCAAUAUGAAGGCCAGGCUGAAGACUUUGCCGGAUUAGCUGAGAGGUGGUGCAUGGCCGUCGUCAGUUCGUACUGUGAAGCAUCCUGUUAAGUCAGGCAACGAGCGAGACCCACGCCCACAGUUGCCAGCGUACUCUCUGGAGUGACGGGUACACUGUGGGGACCGCCGCUGCUAAAGCGGAGGAAGGAAUGGGCAACGGUAGGUCAGUAUGCCCCGAAUAUCCCGGGCUACACGCGAGCUACAAUGGUUGGUACAAUGGGUACCUACCCCGAAAGGGGACGGGAAUCUCCUAAAACCAAUCUUAGUUCGGAUUGAGGGCUGCAACUCGCCCUCAUGAAGCUGGAAUCCGUAGUAAUCGCGUUUCAACAGAACACGGUGAAUACGUCCCUGCUCCUU
This 412-nucleotide ribosomal RNA is filed under the name uncultured Methanosaeta sp. RNAcentral describes it as "bacterial SSU rRNA". It matches the Rfam family "Archaeal small subunit ribosomal RNA", at positions 927 to 1338 of the family's 1478-position model. Lineage: Archaea; Methanobacteriati; Methanobacteriota; Methanomicrobia; Methanotrichales; Methanotrichaceae. The record is from RNAcentral.